CAAGCGGUGGAGCAUGUGGUUUAAUUCGAAGCAACGCGAAGAACCUUACCAAAUCUUGACAUCCUUUGAAAACUCUAGAGAUAGAGCCUUCCCCUUCGGGGGACAAAGUGACAGGUGGUGCAUGGUUGUCGUCAGCUCGUGUCGUGAGACGUUGGGUUAAGUCCCGCAACGAGCGCAACCCUUAAGCUUAGUUGCCAUCAUUAAGUUGGGCACUCUAGGUUGACUGCCGGUGACAAACCGGAGGAAGGUGGGGAUGACGUCAAAUCAUCAUGCCCCUUAUGAUUUGGGCUACACACGUGCUACAAUGGACAAUACAAAGGGCAGCUAAACCGCGAGGUCAUGCAAAUCCCAUAAAGUUGUUCUCAGUUCGGAUUGUAGUCUGCAACUCGACUACAUGAAGCUGGAAUCGCUAGUAAUCGUAGAUCAGCAUGCUACGGUGAAUACUUUCCCGGGUCUUGUACACACC
This 466-nucleotide ribosomal RNA is filed under the name uncultured bacterium. RNAcentral describes it as "bacterial SSU rRNA". It matches the Rfam family "Bacterial small subunit ribosomal RNA", at positions 926 to 1391 of the family's 1533-position model. The record is from RNAcentral.